Molecule: long non-coding RNA, 2166 nt
Organism: Sardina pilchardus (European sardine)
Lineage: Eukaryota; Metazoa; Chordata; Actinopteri; Clupeiformes; Clupeidae
Exons: 3
Source: RefSeq, a predicted model, not a curated record
CAUGCUGUUGGUCAGUAAUGGGAACCGGAUAACCUCGCAAGUUGCAACCACUUGUAGCCUCGCCUUUGUUGCCUUCAGGAUUUCCUUUUAAAGUUUCUCACAUUAAAAAGGAGAUACUCAACGCCAAGCCAGCUGGAAUCUGCCACUGUCUGUGUCUCUCCUGUGAGCGCAAGAUGCGUUCCCAAUUAAGUGGAGUGAUGGUGAAUGGUGUUUACCAUUCUGGUGUUUGUAUGCAGACAGCUUCAACUCUCUACAGUCAAACUGGAAGAUCUGUCACUCUGAAGUUCCAACAACACCAGGACCUGGAGAAGGAGAGUAUAGAUAUCAUACAGUGGUACUUUGGCCCAGUUAAAAUAAUGAAAUAUGUACCGCAGAGAGACAUUCUUAUAUAUUUCACCCAUGGAUUCAGAGUGGAGUUUAAUAAGGAGACCUUCUCUCUGGAGCUGAUGAAACUGCAGAAGAAUGACAGUGGACUCUACAGAGGAGAGAUCAGUGCUGGAAAGAGAGAAGUUCAGGUUGAGCACACACUAUCUGUUCUGGACAAUCCUCCUCAGCCAGACUCAAGCCUCUAUGCCACAGUGAAGAAGACCUGAGACCACUGCUGCAGAAUGAGGCCACUGCUGCAGUUUGCAUGUGCAUGAAUGAUGAAUCCUGGAGUGCCAGUAAUGUGUCUAGGUUGGAAUUAUUGUCAUCACCGGGGGCCUUGGGCACCAUUAUCACCCAAGACAUCACACAUGCCUGCUCUUAGGAUUCCCCUGUGCGCACACACACACACACACACACACACACACACACACACACACACACACACACACACACACACACACACACACACACACACACACACACACACACACACACACACACACACACACACACGAACGCACGCACGCACGCGCACACGCACGCGCACACACACACACACACACACACACACACACACACACACACACACACACACACACACACACCAAUCUCUAGCUAUGGUGAUUUUUUUUAUUUAAAUAAAAUAAAAUAAAUUACUCUCCUCCGAUUAACCUGAAGUAAUUGUAACCUGAAACUAGAAUGCAUUUCCCGGUGGGAAAGUGCGAAGUGUGCUUGCUCAGACGCGCCACGACAGCGCCCGGUAGGAGACACGACCGCUUGUCCUCAGGUCAAAGCGCCAAAGUUUGGCCAAGACGCGAAGCUGCUUCGAGUUUGGCGGCGUUGCCCUCGAUUGCCGAAUUCUUACACUGACCUGACAAGUUGCCUAGAUUCAUCAGUGGUAUGGCCCAGAGCACCUCCAAUGUAAAACUGUAGAUGUCAUCCCAAAGACGUAAAGAGAUAUGAGCCAAAAUGCAUUUUUGCUAAUUGCGGCGCCCCCUAGUGGCCAAAUUACAACACAUUUACUGAGGCUACUUUGGAUGGUGUCCAAAAUCAUGCCGCCAAAUAUGGUCUCAAUACCUCAAAGCGUCUCCGAGAUUUGACCUCACUUCCUGUUUGGACGCUUCAACAUAGAAUUUGAUUGGCUGUCAAGGGCUAACGCUUUGAUGUAUGAAAAUGAAAUGUACACCUCUAAGGUCUGUAGACCUUGUGUUGAAUUAAGUAUGAGUUGUUCACGUGUAGCCAGCAUGAAACACGUAACCACUGAAGGAAGGAGGGAGCCUAAGGAACUAGGCAUGUUUCUAGAACAAAUACGAGUAGCCUAAUGUUAUAGCUAUUCUGUUAUGCGGGAACAUCCGCAGUUUACUCACUGUUAAAUAAGUUGCAAUGUGUUAUAGCCUCAAAUGGAUGGUAAAAUAAACAGGACGACUCACCUGUUCAAAUGAUGUAAUAGGAUAAAAUUUGGUUUUGAUAUGUCAAAGCAACCAGGCUGUUACUGGUUAACGUUUCUGAAUAUGAAAUCGAUUUUGGAUUGGUUGCAUGUGAUAAAAGCUGUGCCAUUUCCUGUCCAGACAGCAUUCAUAUUCAGAAAUACUGUACACCGGCAACAAAGACACACACACACACACACAAACAACUCUUUCAAACAGAAACGUCAGUCCGUUACAUCUGCCUCUUGUCCACAAACUGCAUGUCGCUGAGUUGACCAGCAACGAAGACUUUCACAUAAACACACACACACACACACACACUUACACACACACAUACACAUCACCCCCUCAAACACAAAUAUCUGUCUGUUAC